This 1374-nucleotide ribosomal RNA is filed under the name uncultured bacterium. RNAcentral's name for it is "16S ribosomal RNA". It matches the Rfam family "Bacterial small subunit ribosomal RNA", at positions 39 to 1399 of the family's 1533-position model. The record is from RNAcentral.
GCGACAGGCUUAACACAUGCAAGUCGAGGGGCAGCGGUGGUGAAGGCUUGCCUUUACCAGCCGGCGACCGGCGCACGGGUGAGUAACACGUAUGCAACCUGCCUGCCACAGCCGGAUAAUCGGGAGAAAUUCCGUCUAAUACGGCAUAAUGCACCUAUGGGACAUCCUGUUGGUGCCAAAGGUUGAUUCCGGUGGCGGAUGGGCAUGCGUCGCAUUAGUUAGUUGGCGGUGUAACGGACCACCAAGACGACGAUGCGUAGGGGUUCUGAGAGGAAGGUCCCCCACACUGGUACUGAGACACGGACCAGACUCCUACGGGAGGCAGCAGUGAGGAAUAUUGGUCAAUGGGCGGGAGCCUGAACCAGCCAAGUCGCGUGAGGGAUGACGGCCCUAUGGGUUGUAAACCUCUUUUGCCGGGGAGCAAAGUGCCGCACGUGUGCGGUUUGGAGAGUACCCGGAGAAAAAGCAUCGGCUAACUCCGUGCCAGCAGCCGCGGUAAUACGGAGGAUGCGAGCGUUAUCCGGAUUUAUUGGGUUUAAAGGGUGCGUAGGCGGACGCUUAAGUCAGCGGUAAAAUUGCGGGGCUCAACCUCGUCGAGCCGUUGAAACUGGGUGCCUUGAGUGGGCGAGAAGUACGCGGAAUGCGUGGUGUAGCGGUGAAAUGCAUAGAUAUCACGCAGAACUCCGAUUGCGAAGGCAGCGUACCGGCGCCCAACUGACGCUGAAGCACGAAGGCGUGGGUAUCGAACAGGAUUAGAUACCCUGGUAGUCCACGCAGUAAACGAUGAAUGCUAGUUGUCCGGGGCGAUUGAGUUCUGGGUGACACAGCGAAAGCGUUAAGCAUUCCACCUGGGGAGUACGCCGGCAACGGUGAAACUCAAAGGAAUUGACGGGGGCCCGCACAAGCGGAGGAACAUGUGGUUUAAUUCGAUGAUACGCGAGGAACCUUACCCGGGCUCAAACGCAGGAGGGAUGUUUUUGAAAGGAGGCAGCCAGCAAUGGUCUCCUGCGAGGUGCUGCAUGGUUGUCGUCAGCUCGUGCCGUGAGGUGUCGGCUUAAGUGCCAUAACGAGCGCAACCCCUACCUACAGUUGCCAUCGCGUGAUGGCGGGCACUCUGUGGGGACUGCCUGCGCAAGCAGUGAGGAAGGCGGGGAUGACGUCAAAUCAGCACGGCCCUUACGUCCGGGGCGACACACGUGUUACAAUGGCAGGUACAGCGGGAAGCCACCCGGCGACGGGGCGCGGAACCCGAAAACCUGUCUCAGUUCGGAUUGGAGUCUGCAACCCGACUCCAUGAAGCUGGAUUCGCUAGUAAUCGCGCAUCAGCCACGGCGCGGUGAAUACGUUCCCGGGCCUUGUACACACCGCCCGUCA